Bos taurus (domestic cattle) is the source of this 73-nucleotide non-coding RNA. The record is from Rfam. Lineage: Eukaryota; Metazoa; Chordata; Mammalia; Artiodactyla; Bovidae.
UCCCUGGCGGCCCAGUGGUUAGGACUCUGCAGUUUCACUGCUGAGGGCCCAGGUUCAAUCCUUGGUUAGGGAA